CCUACGGGACGCAGCAGUGGGGAAUAUUGCACAAUGGGGGAAACCCUGAUGCAGCGACGCCGCGUGAGUGAAGAAGUAUCUCGGUACGUAAAGCUCUAUCAGCAGGGAAGAAAAUGACGGUACCUGACUAAGAAGCCCCGGCUAAAUACGGGCCAGCAGCCGCGGUAAUACGUAGGGGGCAAGUGUUAUCCGGAUUUACUGGGUGUAAAGGGAGAGUAGACGGCAGCACAAGUCUGGAGUGAAAUCCCGGGGCUUAACCCCGGAACUGCUUUGGAAACUGUGCGGCUGGAGUGCAGGAGGGGUAAGCGGAAUUCCUAGUGUAGCGGUGAAAUGCGUAGAUAUUAGGAGGAACACCGGUGGCGAAGGCGGCUUACUGGACUGUAACUGACGUUGAGGCUCGAAAGCGUGGGGAGCAAACAGGAUUAGAUACCCGGGUAGUC
This 440-nucleotide ribosomal RNA is filed under the name uncultured bacterium. RNAcentral describes it as "partial 16S ribosomal RNA". It matches the Rfam family "Bacterial small subunit ribosomal RNA", at positions 338 to 795 of the family's 1533-position model. The record is from RNAcentral.